AGCAGAGAUGCUUUGGUGCCUUCGGGAACUCUGAGACAGGUGCUGCAUGGCUGUCGUCAGCUCGUGUUGUGAAAUGUUGGGUUAAGUCCCGCAACGAGCGCAACCCUUUAUCCUUUGUUGCCAGCGGUUAGGCCGGGAACUCAAAGGAGACUGCCAGUGAUAAACUGGAGGAAGGUGGGGAUGACGUCAAGUCAUCAUGGCCCUUACGAGUAGGGCUACACACGUGCUACAAUGGCGCAUACAAAGAGAAGCGACCUCGCGAGAGCAAGCGGACCUCAUAAAGUGCGUCGUAGUCCGGAUUGGAGUCUGCAACUCGACUCCAUGAAGUCGGAAUCGCUAGUAAUCGUGGAUCAGAAUGCCACGGUGAAUACGUUCCCGGGCCUUGUACACACCGCCCGUCACACCAUGGGAGUGGGUUGCAAAAGAAGUAGGUAGCUUAACCUUCGGGAGGGCGCUUACCACUUUGUGAUUCAUGACUGGGGUGAAGUCGUAACAAGGUAAGCGUAGUGCU
Molecule: ribosomal RNA, 511 nt
Filed under: uncultured bacterium
Lineage: Bacteria
Description: bacterial SSU rRNA
Rfam family: Bacterial small subunit ribosomal RNA
Source: RNAcentral